UAUUAAAAAUUCGACCCAUUUGCUUUGUUAAAAAUUGAGAUGACUGAUGGAAUAAUUGUACAAUGAUAUGUAGCGUGUCACGUAUACCUCAUGGUGAGACAUAUGAAUCAAUUUUUAAUAGUAGGAACGAAUGAAUUUUUUAAUA
Gossypium raimondii (Peruvian cotton) is the source of this 145-nucleotide non-coding RNA. The record is from Rfam. Lineage: Eukaryota; Viridiplantae; Streptophyta; Magnoliopsida; Malvales; Malvaceae.